ACAAACCUGAACCCUGCAGACUGUGCGAGC
This 30-nucleotide small RNA is filed under the name Bombyx mori (domestic silkworm). Its description in RNAcentral is "piRNA piR-bmo-1599238". The record is from RNAcentral. Lineage: Eukaryota; Metazoa; Arthropoda; Insecta; Lepidoptera; Bombycidae.